UGUUUCUAUGGUGUAAAGAUCGCACAUUAGAUUUUCGUUCUAAAGGAAUAAAUAAAUUUAUUAGAAAUAUC
Molecule: transfer RNA, 71 nt
Filed under: Purpura persica
Lineage: Eukaryota; Metazoa; Mollusca; Gastropoda; Neogastropoda; Muricidae
Description: tRNA-Glu
Source: RNAcentral